GACGAACGCUGGCGGCGUGCUUAACACAUGCAAGUCGAACGGGCAGGCCCUGCUUUUGUGGGGUGCUCGAGUGGCGAACGGGUGAGUAACACGUGAGUAACCUGCCCUUGACUUUGGGAUAACUUCAGGAAACUGGGGCUCAUACCGGAUAGGAGCUCCUGCUGCAUGGUGGGGGUUGGAAAGAUUCGGCGGUUUGGGAUGGACUCGAGGCUUAUCAGCUGGUUGGUGAGGUAGUGGCUUACCAAGGCUUUGACGGGUAGCCGGCCUGAGAGGGUGACCGGCGACAUUGGGACUGAGGGACGGCCCAGACUCCUACGGGAGGCAGCAGUGGGGAAUAUUGCACAAUGGGGGGAAGCCUGAUGCAGCAACGCCGCGUGCGGGAUGACGGCCUUCGGGUUGUAAACCUCUUUGGCCUGUGACGAAGCGUGAGUGACGGUAAUGGGUAAAGAAGCACCGGCUAACUACGUG
This 468-nucleotide ribosomal RNA is filed under the name uncultured bacterium. Its description in RNAcentral is "partial 16S ribosomal RNA". It matches the Rfam family "Bacterial small subunit ribosomal RNA", at positions 28 to 507 of the family's 1533-position model. The record is from RNAcentral.